Molecule: ribosomal RNA, 253 nt
Filed under: uncultured bacterium
Lineage: Bacteria
Description: partial 16S ribosomal RNA
Rfam family: Bacterial small subunit ribosomal RNA
Source: RNAcentral
UACGUAGGGUGUGAGCGUUGUCCGGAAUUAUUGGGCGUAAAGAGCUUGUAGGCGGUUUGUCGCGUCUGCCGUGAAAAUUCGAGGCUCAACCUCGAACUUGCGGUGGGUACGGGCAGACUAGAGUGUGGUAGGGGAGACUGGAAUUCCUGGUGUAGCGGUGAAAUGCGCAGAUAUCAGGAGGAACACCGAUGGCGAAGGCAGAUCUCUGGGCCGUAACUGACGCUGAGGAGCGAAAGCGUGGGGAGCGAACAGG